RNAcentral lists this ribosomal RNA (497 nucleotides) under uncultured bacterium. RNAcentral describes it as "partial 16S ribosomal RNA". It matches the Rfam family "Bacterial small subunit ribosomal RNA", at positions 28 to 507 of the family's 1533-position model. The record is from RNAcentral.
GAUGAACGCUGGCGGCGUGCCUAAUACAUGCAAGUCGAGCGAACGGACGAGAAGCUUGCUUCUCUGCUGUUAGCGGCGGAUGGGUGAGUAACACGUGGAUAACCUACCUAUAAGACUGAGAUAACUUCGCGAAACCGGAGCUAACACCGGAUCAGAUUUUGAACCGCAUGGUUCAACAGUGCAAGCCCUUCCUGCUGUCCCUUUUUGAUGGUUCCGCGCUGCAUUAGCUAGUUGCUAGGGUAACGGCUUACCAAGGCAACGAUGCAUAGCCGACCUGAGAGGGUGAUCAGCCACACUGGAACUGAGACACGGUCCAGACUCCUACGGGAGGCAGCAGUGGGGAAUAUUCCGCAAUGGGCGAAAGCCUGACGGAGCAACGCCGCGUGAGUGAAGAAGGUCUUCGGAUCGUAAAACUCUGUUAGUAGGGAAGAACAGAAGUAUAAGUAACUGUGCACGUCUUGACGGUACCAAAACAGAAAGCCACGGCUAACUACGUG